Molecule: transfer RNA, 72 nt
Filed under: Marmota monax (woodchuck)
Lineage: Eukaryota; Metazoa; Chordata; Mammalia; Rodentia; Sciuridae
Description: tRNA.Val
Source: RNAcentral
GAGGAUGUAGCUCAAGCAGUAGCGCGCUCGCCUGACAUGUGUGGGGUGCUGUGUUCGAUACUCAGCACCACA